AUGCACAUGUCGAGUGCCAUCACUAUCAGCUGUCGGCUAGUUAUCAAAACAAAAAACACAAACAAACACCUUGUGACGACCGGCAAGCGAAUUAUUUUUGAUACUUUUUGUGCAGUGGAGAAUUCACAGAAUGAAUUUCGGUUCAUUUUGGCACCCAGUCCCACGGAACUGGCCAACUUCUGCGUCUAAAGACAUAAAGAGAUCCCCGACAAACGACUGGUCUUCAUCCGCACAGCGCCGCUCGUAGAUGCGUUGACGUCGUACGGUCAGGAUUGCCAUGGGCUUCAUGGGAGCCCCCGUCUCGUCGUAGAAGGGCGAGCGAGGAUCAUUUGGAAAAUCGGAACGCAUGCGCCUGAUGACAUCUGGAGGGACCUGCGGCUGGUCAGCCACGUGCAGUUCCGCAGACAUAGCUCCAGUCCACUGACGCCCACGAUCCAGUCUGGCGAGGGCUCUAUUUUGGAGGCAAACGAUACCAUGUGAUGCAAUGGAUCCACUCGUACCGAGGCCAUGGACUUGCUACUCAUAUUGGGGAACGACGGGCCGCGUGCCUUGAUAAUAGUGCGGAUCUUUUGAUCCUGUUAAGACGUGGCGUUACUUUGGAUUCCCAGCCGAUCUAGAGA
Molecule: long non-coding RNA, 620 nt
Organism: Drosophila pseudoobscura
Lineage: Eukaryota; Metazoa; Arthropoda; Insecta; Diptera; Drosophilidae
Exons: 3
Source: RefSeq, a predicted model, not a curated record